AACUUACCACCUGGAAUAUUUCCAGUUUAUGUUCCCUGGUGGAAGAGUAGCUGAUUCAGAUUAAUCGGUUAGCAGCUGGCGCUUUAUGCUGACUCUGAAAGAGUCUCAUGGAUUCAAGUUUAAAUUGGAGAAGAGGAGAGAGAAGAGACGAGUGACAGGAAGAAGAUAAAUGUCCAGUGGACAGCUUGAUAUGGUGUGCAAGCCUAGAAAAAAGUCUGUGUCAACUACGUCAAGAAGACGUUUCCUCAAACAUGAUCCGUGGAAAACUUUCAUGCCUGUUGCUUUGGGCCAGUGGAAGGGUUAUACUUCCAACCUUCACGUUUUAAAAGGGCCUGGGGCCAAGAUGUGCAGAGAAGCUGGAGGUUCACGUACGUCACUCAGCGUGUCUCCUCAUUUCUCUUCUGCACCCGGGUGCUGCAGUCUCUCACCUGGGGUCCAGGGCUCCUGUGGAGAACGGACACACACAAAAGCCCUGUGCUGCCAGAAGACAGAGCGUCCCAUCAAGAAAAUGCAAGGGGAAUGAAGAAAGGACAGGGAAACCCUCAGGAUGGUGUGUGUGUUCAGACCCCACAGCAUCGAACUGCAGUGAGUCACAAAAACCCGGCACAAUGAAAUGAGACGGAAGCCCUAAACUUGUAAUAAAGAUCCUGCCUCAUGCGUCUCCCA
RNAcentral lists this long non-coding RNA (666 nucleotides) under Sus scrofa (pig). Its description in RNAcentral is "lncRNA (ENSSSCG00030029759.1)". The record is from RNAcentral. Lineage: Eukaryota; Metazoa; Chordata; Mammalia; Artiodactyla; Suidae.